GCUUACGGCCAUACCACCCUGAACACGCCCGAUCUCGUCUGAUCUCGGAAGCUAAGCAGGGUCGGGCCUGGUUAGUACUUGGAUGGGAGACCGCCUGGGAAUACCAGGUGCAGUAAGCU
Neogobius melanostomus (round goby) is the source of this 119-nucleotide ribosomal RNA. NCBI's taxonomy places the organism in Eukaryota, Metazoa, Chordata, Actinopteri, Gobiiformes, Gobiidae. The record is from Ensembl.